Molecule: transfer RNA, 71 nt
Filed under: Isoetes engelmannii (Engelmann's quillwort)
Lineage: Eukaryota; Viridiplantae; Streptophyta; Lycopodiopsida; Isoetales; Isoetaceae
Description: tRNA-Cys
Rfam family: tRNA
About the family: Transfer RNA (tRNA) molecules are approximately 80 nucleotides in length. Their secondary structure includes four short double-helical elements and three loops (D, anti-codon, and T loops).
Source: RNAcentral
GGCUAAGUAACAUAAUGGCAAUGUAUUGGAUUGCAAACCCUAGAAAGAUGGUCCGAAUCUGCUCUCAGCCU